AAUUUUUAUGACAUAAAAAUAUUUCAAAACGCAUUUAAAAAUAACUAAUAUUUAUAUUGUGGGAUUAGGUAAUUUAUAAAAUUAAUACCUAUCAUAAGUGACAAGGAGGCAUUUGUAUUUAUUAACAAAAAACACUUUUGAUUCAAAACUUCAAAUGUCUCUUUGUCACUUAUGAUAUAAAAUAAUUUUAGAAAUUACUUCAUCCAACAGUCAAAAUAUUAGUUAUUUUUAACGAAUUUUUGGAAAGUUUUUAUGCCCUAAAAAUUUGGAUAAUCAUUAAAUAAGCCUAAUUUGGUGAAUUUUGGUUUUAAGGUUUCUUAAGUGUGACAUAUUUUUUAUCAUGCAAAAUGGGUCUCCUCUAUCUGUUGUAUCACUAUAAAAUGUUUCAUGAAUUUUGAAGAUGAACUCCAUGUUGUUUUGAUCAAGAAAAGAGGGGGGGGACAUUCCAAUGGUUAUUGUUUACCGAGUUAACUGACGGAAUAGAUGAUAGUGUCAAAUAAGGAAUAGAAGUUCAAUCCAGUGUCAGAUAAGGAAGUUCAAAUUUUUCGAUGUCAAAUAAGGAAGCCUCAUUUUUACUAGGGCCAAAUAAGGAAUUUUCUCUUAUAUAUAUCAGUCGAACUUGUUGUCCUAGUGCACCCUUAUUAGCUUCGUGCCAAAUUAGGUAUGACUUGUUGCUUAGUGCAUUUUCAAAAUUAAACACCCAUAUCAUGUCAAUUUAUCUCCCAGAUUUAUUUGUUCCUAAUAAUUAUAUCCCUAUAUUUGUUGCCUUCUACCAUUAAUUUUACCUCUUUUAUGUACUACAACCAUGUGAAUUGCUGGUCCAUAUAUUUACCUUCCCAUUUCCUCCCAC
This 850-nucleotide long non-coding RNA is filed under the name Setaria viridis. Its description in RNAcentral is "long non-coding RNA (SVIR_LNC010220)". Lineage: Eukaryota; Viridiplantae; Streptophyta; Magnoliopsida; Poales; Poaceae. The record is from RNAcentral.